UGGCCAGCCGAGAUGGAUGCGUAGCAUUACCCUCCAGGUACCGAAGCAGACCCUCGACCUCUCCCGCCGCACGCUUUCGGGCCUGCUGAAGCUCCGGCCGGCCCUCCGUCUCCACCUUGGUCAGGAAACAAAACAUGGCCGCUGUAAGAGCACACCUGUGGGCCCAGGGUGGCGAUCUCCCUCUGCACCUCAUCCAGCCGUAACAGGGAUGGGUGCUGCCCAGGGUACGGGCCCUGGGGUCCGGCAUAACCUGGGAAGGGUCCUGGCAUCUGUUGAGUCUGUGACUGCUGACUGCCAUGAUCCAUCGUCCUCUUCCCACCAUCAAAGGGUUUCCCAAACAGGCUGAAAGAGAAACCGAGAGCUGUGAUGACUAAGGCGGACUCAUCCAGAUGUUUCCAACUACACCCUUCAUAAACAAAACCUCCAAAGAGACCCAACGCCUCUGCAUUUACUCCUGAUUUCUUUCAACAUGGAGACAGAAGAGCUGUCAGUCAAUAAAUGGGAAAAUAAGUUACUGAGACUAAUAGCAGGGUGUCUUCAAACUUCAGCAUCAACACUACAGGGAGGGAGUCGAGAUUCUGGAACUGUCCACAGCAGCUAUGAUCAUGAGGAUGUUACCAGCAAUAUCAACUAAAACUAUCUUCUGUUCAUGGAGGCUGAAUGCAAUACACGUCUCAUCAUCAUCAUCAUGAUAUGCCAUCAUGAGGAGUGUCUCACAGCUGUACACUGAUAGAUUAACCAGGGAUCUAACAUGUCCCCCAAAUAUGGGUUUUGCAAUGGCUGAUUCUUAAAUUACUACAUCUGUUCCCCCAGUACUGAAUAUGUGGCUACAUCCUGGGCAUGAACUAUACAAUAAAGCAGAGUGAGAAUAUAACACAAGCCUGUACAUGCCUCACCAAAACGAUGCUUCCUGUCAUCUGACAACGCUGUGCCUGAUUUUACAUGAAUGAAACGAUCACAGAAGGACAUUUUUAUUGCUUCUGAACACCAGCCAACAGAAUCCGAGCAUGUCUCACCCCCUCCUGAGAUGCGCAGCAUAUUUCUCACCU
Megalobrama amblycephala (Wuchang bream) is the source of this 1049-nucleotide long non-coding RNA. RefSeq lists it as uncharacterized. The record is from RefSeq and is a predicted model, not a curated record. Lineage: Eukaryota; Metazoa; Chordata; Actinopteri; Cypriniformes; Xenocyprididae. The transcript has 5 exons.